RNAcentral lists this ribosomal RNA (63 nucleotides) under Phoma herbarum. RNAcentral describes it as "partial 28S ribosomal RNA". Lineage: Eukaryota; Fungi; Ascomycota; Dothideomycetes; Pleosporales; Didymellaceae. The record is from RNAcentral.
UCUUGACCUCGGAUCAGGUAGGGAUACCCGCUGAACUUAAGCAUAUCAAAAGUGGGGAGGGAA